GACGAACGCUGGCGGCGUGCCUAAUACAUGCAAGUUGAGCGCUGAAGGUUGGUACUUGUACCAACUGGAUGAGCAGCGAACGGGUGAGUAACGCGUGGGGAAUCUGCCUUUGAGCGGGGGACAACAUUUGGAAACGAAUGCUAAUACCGUAUAAAAACUUUAAACACAAGUUUUAAGUUUGAAAGAUGCAAUUGCAUCACUCAAAGAUGAUCCCGCGUUGUAUUAGCUAGUUGGUGAGGUAAAGGCUCACCAAGGCGAUGAUACAUAGCCGACCUGGGAGGGUGAUCGGCCACAAUGGGACUGAGACACGGCCCAAACUCCUACGGGAGGGAGCAGUAGGGAAUCUUCGGCAAUGGACGAAAGUCUGAACGAGCAACGCCGCGGGAGUGAAGAAGGUUUUCGGGUCGUAAAACUCUGUUGGUAGGGAAGAACGUUGGUGGGAGUGGAAAGCUCAUCAAGUGACGGUAACUAACCAGAAAGGGACGGCUAACUACGUG
RNAcentral lists this ribosomal RNA (497 nucleotides) under uncultured bacterium. Its description in RNAcentral is "partial 16S ribosomal RNA". It matches the Rfam family "Bacterial small subunit ribosomal RNA", at positions 28 to 507 of the family's 1533-position model. The record is from RNAcentral.